ACGCCUCAACUCUCGUGGUUUGCCAUGGUGAGCUUGGACUCUGGGGGUCUUGCUGGCCUUAUGGUCAGCUCCUCUCAAAUGAAUCGGCUUCCCAGUGUUUGGUGGCAUCACAGGUGUGAUAACUAUCUACGCUUGUGGUGUCCUCCCAGGUAACCUUCAGCGAUGGAGGUCACUGGAGCUAAUAAAUGCACAUCUCUCAUCGUAGAGACGGCUUUUUAGAU
RNAcentral lists this unclassified non-coding RNA (221 nucleotides) under uncultured Thelephoraceae. RNAcentral describes it as "sequence contains ITS2". The record is from RNAcentral. Lineage: Eukaryota; Fungi; Basidiomycota; Agaricomycetes; Thelephorales; Thelephoraceae.